RNAcentral lists this non-coding RNA (30 nucleotides) under Mus musculus (house mouse). The record is from RNAcentral. Lineage: Eukaryota; Metazoa; Chordata; Mammalia; Rodentia; Muridae.
UACAGCCCCGUAUGAGGUAACCUCUGCCUU